This 729-nucleotide ribosomal RNA is filed under the name Candidatus Tremblayella phenacoccinincola. RNAcentral describes it as "bacterial SSU rRNA". It matches the Rfam family "Bacterial small subunit ribosomal RNA", at positions 658 to 1382 of the family's 1533-position model. The record is from RNAcentral. Lineage: Bacteria; Pseudomonadati; Pseudomonadota; Betaproteobacteria.
GGGAUAGAAUUCCAGGAGUAGCGGUGAAAUGCGUAGAUAUCUGGAGGAAUACCAAAGGCGAAGGCAGUCCCCUGGUCCGAUACUGACACUGGGGUACGAAAGCGUGGGGAGCAAACAGGAUUAGAUACCCUGGUAGUCCACGCCCUAAACGAUGUCGAUUAGCCAUUGGAAGGACCCCUUUUCCUUUCAGUGACGUAGCUAACGCGUUAAAUCGACCGCCUGGGAAGUACGACCGCAAGGUUAAAACUCAAAGGAAUUGACGGGGACCUGAACAAGCGGUGAAUGAUGUGGAUUAAUUCGAUGCUACGCGAAGAACCUUACCUACCUUUGACAUGGCCAAAGUUCUACCGAGAGGCGGAAGUACUCGUAAGAGGAUUGGCGCACAGGUGCUGCAUGGUUGUCGUCAGUUCGUGUCGUGAGAUGUUGGGUUCAGUCCCGCAACGAACGCAACCCUUAUCUUUAAUUGCUCCUAUUUUAACAGGCACUUUAAAGAAACUGCCAAUGAUAAGUUGGAGGAAGGUGGGGAUCACGUCAAGUCCGCAUGGCCUUUAUAGGUAGGGCUUCACAUGUCAUACAAUGGUUAGAACAAAGAGCUGCAAAUUCGUAAGAAGGAGCCAAUCUCACAAACCUAACCUCAGUUCGAAUUGCGGUCUGCAACUCGAGCGCAUGAAGCCGGAAUCGCUAGUAAUCGUGGAUCAGAAUGCCACGGUGAAUACGUUCUUAGGUCUU